RNAcentral lists this ribosomal RNA (1694 nucleotides) under Plesiops nakaharae. RNAcentral's name for it is "16S ribosomal RNA". It matches the Rfam family "Bacterial large subunit ribosomal RNA". The record is from RNAcentral. Lineage: Eukaryota; Metazoa; Chordata; Actinopteri; Plesiopidae.
CACCUAUCAGCUAGCCCCUCCAACAACACCAAAAUCCUUUUAUUAAUACCCCUAAAUCAUACAACCCUUAAACAAACAAACCAUUUUUCACCUUAAGUAUAGGCGAUAGAAAAAGAUCUAGGAGCGAUAGAAAAAGUACCGCAAGGGAAUGCUGAAAGAGAAAUGAAAUAACCCAGUUAAGUCCAAAAAAGCAGAGACUAACCCUCGUACCUUUUGCAUCAUGCUUUAGCCAGUACUAAUCAAGCAAAAAGCAUUUUAGUUUGAUUCCCCGAAACUACGUGAGCUACUUCAAGACAGCCUAAAAUAUAGGGCCAACUCGUCUCUGUGGCAAAAGAGUGAGAAGAUCUUCAAGUAGAGGUGAAACAUCUACCGAACUUAGUUAUAGCUGGUUGCUUAGGAACUGGAUAGAAGUUCAGCCUCUUAGCUUCUUUAUUCCCCCCAAUAUUUUAUACAACUAAGAUAAUUAAGAAGCUAAAAGAGUUAGUCAAAAGAGGUUCAGCUCCUUUGAAACAAGACACAACUUUUCCAGGAGGGAAAAGAUCACAGCACCAUAAAGGCAAAGUACAUCAGUAGGCCUAAAAGCAGCCACCCCCUAAGAAAGCGUUAAAGCUCGAAUAUAUACCACCCCUUAAAUCCCGACAUAAACUCUUGCCCCCCUAAUCCUACUAAGCCGCCCCAUGCCUCCAUGGGAGUGACCCUGCUAAAAUGAGUAAUAAGAGACUCCAAAUCUCUCCUUGUACAAGUGUAAAUCGAAACGGACCCCCCACCGAAACUUAACGAACCCAAACAAAGAGGGCACCGAACAACAAAUAAACCCCUAGAAAACCAUUCAAACUCUUACCGUUAAUCCCACACUGGUGUACUUUUAAGGAAAGACUAAAAGAAAAAGAAGGAACUCGGCAAAUAUACCCUACUAGGCCUCGCCUGUUUACCAAAAACAUCGCCUCUUGCUUUACUAACAUAAGAGGUCUCGCCUGCCCAGUGACUCAUGAGUUCAACGGCCGCGGUAUUUUAACCGUGCAAAGGUAGCGUAAUCACUUGUUUUUUAAAUGAAGACCUGUAUGAAUGGCAUAACGAGGGCUUAACUGUCUCCUUUUUCCAGUCAAUGAAAUUGAUCCUCCCGUGCAGAAGCGGGAAUUCACACAUAAGACGAGAAGACCCUAUGAAGCUUUAGACACCAGAACAGCCCAGAUCAAAAACUUUCCAUAAAAAGACUAAACCAACUGGCCCCUUUUCUAAUGUCUUUGGUUGGGGCGACCAUGGAGAAUCAUAAAGCCUCCACGCGGAAUGGGAUCAAACCUUUCUACAACCAAGAAUUACAAUUCUAAGUAUCAGAACUUCUGACCUCUCGUGAUCCGGCCAAAGCCGAUCAACGGACCGAGUUACUCUAGGGAUAACAGCGCAAUCUCCUUCAAGAGCCCCUAUCGACAAGGAGGUUUACGACCUCGAUGUUGGAUCAGGACAUCCUAAUGGCGCAGCCGUUAUUAAGGGUUCGUUUGUUCAACGAUUAAUAGUCCUACGUGAUCUGAGUUCAGACCGGAGUAAUCCAGGUCAGUUUCUAUCUAUGAUAUGACUUUUUCUAGUACGAAAGGACCGAAAAAAAGGGGCCCAUGCUCAAAGUACGCCUCAGCCUCACCUAAUGAAAACAACUAAAGUAGGUAACAGGCCAUAACCUUAAUGUCAAAAAAAGACAA